GGGGAAUAUUGCACAAUGGGCGCAAGCCUGAUGCAGCCAUGCCGCGUGUGUGAAGAAGGCCUUCGGGUUGUAAAGCACUUUCAGCGGGGAGGAAGGUGUUGAGGUUAAUAACCUUGUCGAUUGACGUUACCCGCAGAAGAAGCACCGGCUAACUCCGUGCCAGAAGCCGCGGUAAUACGGAGGGUGCAAGCGUUAAUCGGAAUUACUGGGCGUAAAGCGCACGCAGGCGGUCUGUCAAGUCGGAUGUGAAAUCCCCGGGCUCAACCUGGGAACUGCAUUCGAAACUGGCAGGCUAGAGUCUUGUAGAGGGGGGUAGAAUUCCAGGUGUAGCGGUGAAAUGCGUAGAGAUCUGGAGGAAUACCGGUGGCGAAGGCGGCCCCCUGGACAAAGACUGACGCUCAGGUGCGAAAGCGUGGGGAGCAAAC
Molecule: ribosomal RNA, 425 nt
Filed under: uncultured bacterium
Lineage: Bacteria
Description: bacterial SSU rRNA
Rfam family: Bacterial small subunit ribosomal RNA
Source: RNAcentral